UACGGGAGGCAGCAGUAGGGAAUAUUGCACAAUGGGGGAAACCCUGAUGCAGCGACGCCGCGUGAGUGAUGAAGUAUUUCGGUAUGUAAAGCUCUAUCAGCAGGGAAGAUUAUGACGGUACCUGACUAAGAAGCCCCGGCUAACUACGUGCCAGCAGCCGCGGUAAU
This 167-nucleotide ribosomal RNA is filed under the name uncultured rumen bacterium. RNAcentral's name for it is "partial 16S ribosomal RNA". It matches the Rfam family "Bacterial small subunit ribosomal RNA", at positions 340 to 524 of the family's 1533-position model. The record is from RNAcentral.